This 916-nucleotide long non-coding RNA is filed under the name Marmota monax (woodchuck). The record is from RNAcentral. Lineage: Eukaryota; Metazoa; Chordata; Mammalia; Rodentia; Sciuridae.
GGAAAGUGGAGAAAACACAAAAUGGAUUUUAAAAAAUCAUGCUAUGUGCACAUACCACAGGUAAUUUCACCUUUAUGUAUAAGUGGAGAAAACCAAUAAAAAAGAAAUAAAUAGAUGAUCUAAAGGAAGAUCAGUAGAGAAAGGUGAAUGGAGGGAGGAAGGAUGAGAAGAAAAGAGGGGGCAUGAACUGAAAUUUAAUUCCAAGAAUGUAUGAAUUUGUUAAGAUGAACCCAACUACUGUGUGUAACUAUAAUGCUCUAAUAAAAAAUAAAAUAAUUCUUUUUAUAAUGAUUAAAGAUUCCAUAAGGAUAUCCUCUGUAUUAUAUCUGAUAAGGUAAUUUGUAUCUAUUUUGUCAAGUCUUCCUACAAGUUUAUAAAUUUUAAUUAUCUUUUCUAAGAGUUAACUUUAUAUAUUAUUUUUUAUUUGCAAAAUAAAAAAUGUUAACACACAAUAAAAUAAAUCUGUUGCUGUGUGCCACAUGAUAAAUGAGAGAAUGAAUGAUUGCAACAAAAACAUUCCAACAAUCUUCUCCCUGAGCCUGACAGCAGGACUUAUUCAACCCAUUUUCCAAAAUAUUACAUCAUCAAACCUAUGAUUUACCCAAUUUUCCACUGAAAAUAAUUAAUUUAAAUAUAAAUGAACUAGAUAUUGUAAUUAAAAGGUCUAAAUAUUCAACAUGUGUAAAAAGCAAACAAUAUAUCACACUUUAAAUAUCAGUACACUAAUAGGUUAAAAGCAAAAGAAGAGGAAAAUAAGCAUAAGAAGUCAGAAGUAGAGCUAUUAAUAUAAAAUAAAUUUCAAGAAAAAGUAUCUUCAGGGGCUGGCAUUGUGGCUGAGCGGUAGAGUGCUUGCCUAGCACGCGUGAGACACUGGGUUCGAUCCUCAGCACCACGUAAAAUAAAUAAAAUAAAAAUA